RNAcentral lists this ribosomal RNA (253 nucleotides) under uncultured bacterium. RNAcentral's name for it is "partial 16S ribosomal RNA". It matches the Rfam family "Bacterial small subunit ribosomal RNA", at positions 524 to 776 of the family's 1533-position model. The record is from RNAcentral.
UACGGAGGGGGCGAGCGUUGUUCGGAAUCACUGGGCAUAAAGGGCGCGUAGGCGGCUUUUCAAGUCAGGGGUGAAAUCCGGCAGCUCAACUGUCGAAGUGCCCUUGAUACUGAUGAGCUCGAGGGAGGUAGGGGUGUGUGGAACUUCCGGUGGAGCGGUGAAAUGCGUUGAUAUCGGAAGGAACGCCGGUGGCGAAAGCGACGCACUGGACCUCUUCUGACGCUGAGGCGCGAAAGCUAGGGGAGCAAACGGG